This 253-nucleotide ribosomal RNA is filed under the name uncultured bacterium. RNAcentral describes it as "partial 16S ribosomal RNA". It matches the Rfam family "Bacterial small subunit ribosomal RNA", at positions 524 to 776 of the family's 1533-position model. The record is from RNAcentral.
GACGGAGGAUGCAGGCGUUAUCCGGAAUUAUUGGGCGUAAAGCGUCCGCAGGUGGCACCUCAAGUCUGCUGUCAAAGACCGGGGCUUAACCCCAGAAAGGCAGUGGAAACUGAAGUGCUAGAGUGCAGUAGGGGUAGAGGGAAUUCCCGGUGUAGCGGUGAAAUGCGUAGAGAUCGGGAAGAACAUCGGUGGCGAAAGCGCUCUGCUGGACUGCAACUGACACUCAGGGACGAAAGCUAGGGGAGCGAAUGGG